CACACUGUCUCUCUGUUGACCUCUGACCUGUUGGACUGCUGUCUUUGGGUAGAAUAUCACGUCACCUAUAUCAACAGUUUCAGUUCACUCAAAGAGAAUUUGCAGUGCUAUAAAGAGAGCUGUUCAGCUCAGGUGGAGAAGCUGGAAAAAGAAGUGGAUGGACUGACUCAGAGACUCAGACAGACCCUGAUGGAUCAUUUCAAAUCUGAGCUCAAGCCUUACAUGGAUGGCAUGAUGACAAAAAAAUGGCUGAAAACAGAUGAAGAUUUUAAAGAAGUGAUUUCUAGAGUAGAGAAUUACUCUGGGCUCUGUAAAUCCAUGAGAGCUCCAUCAGCCCAAAUUUUUGUGAAUGAUGUGCACUAUUAUGUAGCCAAAGAAUAUGUCUCCCAGUUGAUGAAGAAAAAAUAUUCAUGCAAAAAACCCAAAAACGAAGAUGCUGCCAUAAAACUGAAAGAACAGUGGAAUGAAC
RNAcentral lists this long non-coding RNA (469 nucleotides) under Sinocyclocheilus anshuiensis. Its description in RNAcentral is "lncRNA (ENSSANG00000018182.1)". The record is from RNAcentral. Lineage: Eukaryota; Metazoa; Chordata; Actinopteri; Cypriniformes; Cyprinidae.